GAUGAACGCUGGCGGCGUGCCUAAUACAUGCAAGUCGAGCGAACAGACGAGGAGCUUGCUCCUCUGACGUUAGCGGCUGACGGGUGAGUAACACGUGGAUAACCUACCUAUAAGACUGGGAUAACUUCGGGAAACCGGAGCUACUACCGGAUAAUAUAUUGAACCGCAUGGUUCAAUAGUGAAAGACGGUUUUGCUGUCACUUAUAGAUGGUUCCGCGCCGCAUUAGCUAGUUGGUAAGGUAACGGCUUACCAAGGCAACGAUGCGUAGCCGACCUGAGAGGGUGAUCGGCCACACUGGAACUGAGACACGGUCCAGACUCCUACGGGAGGCAGCAGUAGGGAAUCUUCCGCAAUGGGCGAAAGCCUGACGGAGCAACGCCGCGUGAGUGAUGAAGGUCUUCGGAUCGUAAAACUCUGUUAUUAGGGAAGAACAAAUGUGUAAGUAACUAUGCACGUCUUGACGGUACCUAAUCAGAAAGCCACGGCUAACUACGUG
RNAcentral lists this ribosomal RNA (497 nucleotides) under uncultured bacterium. RNAcentral's name for it is "partial 16S ribosomal RNA". It matches the Rfam family "Bacterial small subunit ribosomal RNA", at positions 28 to 507 of the family's 1533-position model. The record is from RNAcentral.